Molecule: ribosomal RNA, 163 nt
Filed under: uncultured bacterium
Lineage: Bacteria
Description: partial 16S ribosomal RNA
Rfam family: Bacterial small subunit ribosomal RNA
Source: RNAcentral
GUAAUCGUAGGUCAGCAUACUACGGUGAAUACGUUCCCGGGCCUUGUACACACCGCCCGUCAAACCAUGAGAGUUGGCAACACCCGAAGUCGGUAGUCUAACCGCAAGGAGGACGCCGCCGAAGGUGGGGUUGAUGAUUGGGGUUAAGUCGUAACAAGGUAUC